UACAUAGGUGGCAAGCGUUGUCCGGAUUUAUUGGGUUUAAAGGGUGCGUAGGCGGCCUUGUAAGUCAGUGCUGAAAUAUCCCGGCUUAACCGGGAGGGUGGCAUUGAUACUGCAGGGCUUGAGUAAAGUUGAGGUUGGCGGAAUUGACGGUGUAGCGGUGAAAUGCUUAGAUAUCGUCAAGAACACCUAUUGCGUAGGCAGCUAACUAAGCUUUAACUGACGCUGAGGCACGAAAGUGUGGGGAUCAAACAGG
Molecule: ribosomal RNA, 253 nt
Filed under: uncultured bacterium
Lineage: Bacteria
Description: partial 16S ribosomal RNA
Rfam family: Bacterial small subunit ribosomal RNA
Source: RNAcentral